UACGUAGGGGGCCAGCGUUGUCCGGAAUUAUUGGGCGUAAAGGGCUCGUAGGCGGUUUGUUGCGUCGGCCGUGAAAACCUGCAGCUUAACUGUGGGCUUGCGGUCGAUACGGGCAGACUUGAGUUCGGUAGGGGAGACUGGAAUUCCUGGUGUAGCGGUGAAAUGCGCAGAUAUCGGGAGGAACACCGGUGGCGAAGGCGGUUCUCUGGG
This 210-nucleotide ribosomal RNA is filed under the name uncultured bacterium. RNAcentral describes it as "partial 16S ribosomal RNA". It matches the Rfam family "Bacterial small subunit ribosomal RNA", at positions 524 to 733 of the family's 1533-position model. The record is from RNAcentral.